Mugil cephalus (flathead mullet) is the source of this 6988-nucleotide RNA transcript. It is a transcript of the gene named ATPase phospholipid transporting 8A2, with no coding region annotated. The record is from RefSeq and is a predicted model, not a curated record. The transcript has 38 exons. Lineage: Eukaryota; Metazoa; Chordata; Actinopteri; Mugiliformes; Mugilidae.
UCCAGAUCUGCGUCCCGGUCCGUGGGUGAGCCAUGAGCAUGCCACCGCUCCGGCCUUCCCCCCGCAGCCACACGGACGCUCGUUCCUCACCAGCAAGAUGUAUUUCAACCGGAGAGCCAAGAAGAUACACAGCGAGGGAGAGCAUUUAGUGUUGACCACCAUUAGGCAGGAGGCCUCUGAACCGCAGGACCCAGGCCAGGGCGCCGGCGUCAUGCGCGCCCGCCUCACAGACAGGUUUGAAAAAACCUCGCCUCUCUCCCAUCAAUCCAACGGUGCAGGACCCGCUUGCUCGUCCGCCGGUUACCGCAAGGCAGACGAUGAGAUGUCCGGGACCACUUCCCAGGCGGAUCCCGUAGACGCCACUGCGCGGACGGUGCUGCUCAACCGGCCAGAGAAUACCAAGUUCUGCGACAACCAUGUCAGUACCACCAAGUAUGGGAUUCUCACCUUUCUGCCCCGGUUCCUGUAUGAGCAGAUCAGGAGGGCUGCCAAUGCCUUCUUUCUGUUCAUCGCACUCAUGCAGCAAAUCCCCGAUGUGUCACCGACCGGCCGCUACACCACGCUGGUCCCUCUCAUAUUCAUCCUCACUGUGGCCGGGAUCAAAGAGAUCAUAGAGGACUACAAGAGGCACAAAGCUGACAACACGGUCAACAAGAAGAAGACAACAGUGCUGCGGAAUGGAGCUUGGCAGACGGUUAUCUGGAAACAGGUGGCAGUAGGAGACAUAGUCAAGGUGACCAAUGGGCAGCACCUUCCAGCGGACAUGGUUAUUGUGUCCUCCAGCGAGCCACAGGCCAUGUGUUACACCGAGACCUCUAACCUGGACGGAGAAACCAACCUGAAGAUCCGACAGGGUCUCCCACUCACGGCCAGUUUUCAGACUCUGGAGGAUUUGAUGGCACUGUCCGGUUGUUUGGAGUGUGAAGGCCCGAACAGACAUCUCUAUGAUUUCACUGGCACACUGAGGCUGGAAAACCAAAAUCCAGCUCCCCUGGGUCCAGACCAGGUGUUGCUGCGAGGCGCCCAGCUCAGAAACACACAGUGGGUUGUGGGAAUUGUUGUUUACACUGGUCAUGACUCCAAACUGAUGCAGAACUCCACCAAGGCGCCGCUGAAGCGCUCUAAUGUGGAGCGGGUGACCAACAUGCAGAUCCUGGUCCUGUUUGGCAUCCUGCUAGUCAUGGCACUGGUCAGCUCCGUGGGCGCUGCCAUCUGGAACAAAGAACACACUGAAGACGCCUGCUGGUACCUGUCCCGGGCUGGGGACAUCUCUACAAACUUUGCGUACAACCUGCUGACGUUCAUCAUCCUGUACAAUAACCUGAUCCCCAUCAGCCUGCUGGUCACUCUGGAGGUGGUUAAGUUCACGCAGGCGCUCUUCAUCAACUGGGAUGUGGAGAUGUACUACGCGGAGACAGACACACCGGCCAUGGCUCGAACAUCAAAUCUUAAUGAGGAACUGGGCCAGGUGAAGUAUCUCUUUUCCGACAAAACAGGAACUCUGACCUGUAACGUGAUGCACUUCAAGAAGUGUACGAUUGCAGGCAUCACAUAUGGCCACUUCCCUGACCUUGACUGUGAUCGUUCAAUGGAGGACUUUAGCAAUCUGCCGUCCAGCAGCAACAACUCAACAGAGUUUGACGACCCGGCUCUUAUUCAGAACAUCGAGAAGAACCAUCCUACAUCACCUCAGAUCUGUGAGUUCUUGACAAUGAUGGCAGUCUGCCAUACGGUGGUGCCAGAAAGGGAGGAAGACCAGAUCAUCUACCAGGCGUCCUCACCAGACGAGGGAGCUCUGGUCAAAGGGGCCAAAGGACUUGGAUUCGUCUUCACUGCGAGGACACCGCAUUCAGUCAUCAUUGAAGCUAGAGGAAAAGAGAUGAGCUACGAACUACUGAACGUGCUGGAGUUUUCCAGUAACCGUAAACGCAUGUCUGUGGUGGUGAGGACGCCCGACGGGAAGCUACGGCUCUACUGCAAAGGAGCAGAUAAUGUCAUUUUCGAGCGCCUGACUGAAGCGUCUCAGUAUAAAGAAAUCACUGUGGCUCAUCUGGAGCAGUUUGCUACUGAAGGUCUGAGGACGCUGUGUUUUGCAUACGUGGACCUGGAGGAAGGUGCCUAUCAGGAGUGGCUGAAGGAAUACAUUCGUAUCAGCACCGUACUCAAAGACCGCGCUCAGAAACUAGAGGAGUGUUACGAACUACUGGAAAAGAAUUUAAUGUUGCUGGGUGCCACAGCCAUAGAGGACCGUCUCCAGGCCGGCGUACCAGAAACCAUCGCCACUCUGAUGAGGGCUGACAUUAAGAUCUGGGUCCUCACUGGAGACAAGCAGGAGACCGCCAUCAACAUAGGUUACUCCUGCCGCUUGGUGACACACGGCAUGUCCCUCAUCAUCGUCAACGAGGACUCUCUGGACGCUACUCGUGCCACGCUGACGACUCAUUGUUCAGCUCUGGGCGACUCACUGAGGAAAGAGAACGAGCUGGCGCUGAUCAUCGAUGGCCAGACGCUGAAAUAUGCCCUGUCCUUCGAGCUCCGCCAGGCCUUCCUUGACUUGGCAUUGUCCUGCAAAGCUGUCAUCUGCUGCCGAGUGUCUCCGCUGCAGAAGUCCGAAAUUGUGGACAUGGUGAAGAAACACGUGAAAGCCAUCACGCUGGCGAUAGGCGACGGCGCCAACGACGUGGGGAUGAUUCAGACGGCCCACGUCGGAGUCGGGAUCAGCGGCAACGAGGGCAUGCAGGCCACCAACUCUUCUGACUACUCUAUAGCACAGUUCUCCUACCUCGAGAAGCUUCUGUUGGUCCACGGUGCGUGGAGCUACAACCGGGUCACAAAGUGCAUCCUCUACUGUUUCUAUAAGAAUGUGGUCCUCUAUAUAAUAGAGCUCUGGUUCGCUUUUGUGAACGGCUUCUCUGGCCAGAUCCUCUUUGAGCGCUGGUGUAUAGGCCUCUACAAUGUGAUAUUUACUGCACUGCCUCCGUUCACUCUGGGGAUUUUCGACCGGCCGUGCAGCCAGCAGAACAUGCUGCGGUUCCCACAGCUCUAUCGGAUAACCCAGAACGCCGAGGGUUUCAACACCAAGGUGUUCUGGGGACACUGCAUCAAUGCACUGAUUCAUUCAAUUAUCCUCUUCUGGUUUCCGCUCAAAAUGUUAGAGCACGACUCUCCCUUCAAUAACGGUCAAGGAAACGACUACCUGUUUGCAGGAAAUAUGGUCUACACGUAUGUUGUAGUUACAGUGUGUCUGAAAGCUGGAAUGGAGACCACCGCUUGGACCAAGUUUUCUCACCUGGCGGUGUGGGGAAGCAUGGUGCUCUGGAUGGUCUUCUUCGCCGUGUACUCCGUCAUCUGGCCCACGUUCCCCAUCGCCCCCGACAUGCUGGGCCAGGCUGGCAAGGUGAUGCAGUGCUGGCACUUCUGGCUGGGCCUGGUCCUGGUGCCUACUGCGUGUUUACUCAAAGACUUCGCUUGGACAGCCACGCGUCGAACUGUGAGGAAGUCUCUGCUGGAGGAGGUGCAGGAGCUGGAGGCGCGGGCCGUUGACCCGGGCGCGGCCGUGCUUAGAGACGCCAGCGGCCGCAGGUGGAUCAAUUUGCACUGCUGCACAGACCUGUCUAAACGAACGAGCCCAUCUGCUGACAAGAGUCUUUAGGAAAACACCUUCAAGCAUCGGACGCUCCAACUCCGUGCAGCAGACUGUGACACACGGCUACGCCUUCUCUCAGGAGGAGCACGGCGUGGUGUCCCAAUCCCAGGUAGUGCGCUCCUACGACACCACCCGCCAGCGCCCCAGCAUCUAGCCCCCCCUCCGCACCGACCCCCGAUCAAGGCUUUAGCUCACCGUAGCAGCGGUUGUCAUGGCGACAGCAGAGAGAGAGAGAGAGAGAGAGAGAGACUUUACGUGGCGCUCUCACGCCGGGCGACCGACCCCUGCUGUGGCCUUACUGGAACUGUGACCUGACCUCCCCGCGAGGGGGUGGGGGUCACGGUCAGGCGUGGAGGCCGUCGCUGGCGCUCGGGAUGACUGACUCGGGAGAAAGGCACCAGGCCCCGAAACAUACGGAAUAAACCAUCUAACAAAGGCUGCACAGGCAUGAGCAAUCAUAUUCACGCACAGGCAUGACCAGUCAAACUCAGAGACUGCUACUCAUAUCCGUAUAACCCCCUCAGACUGGGUUUGCUUCAUGUCGCCGUGUGUGUCGACGCGUCCGUAUCUGCCUGUGCAUGUGUGUGUCUGCAAGCAUCCGCGCUCAACGUGUUUUGUGUGUGUGUGCGUGUGUCGGUCCACGCGUCUUAGCUUCCUCGGUUACCUCUCACUUCUGGGUCCAGCUCGUCCGCCAUCGCGCACACACUCACACACACAUAUACAAGUCGCUGAUGAGUUUCUUAAAAACAGAGAGGAGGGAGGCAUGGACCGGUGACCCGCCGGAGCCCCGAGGCCUCACUGCCAAACACCACAGAGACGCCACUGAGGCAGAACCCCCCCCCACCCCCACCCUCUCCGACACUGGACCGCCACCCUGCAACUGCAACCCCACCAGGACUUCCUCUUCCUUAUCUCCCCCCCACCCUCCUCAUCUCUCCACCUCACAGCCGCUCUGCAGCCUCCAUGUCUCUCCUCCUCCGCGGCCCACCUCAGGUUUUAAAAAUCAUCUUUUUAGCUUUUCCCCCUGUUUUAAUUCUGACCGCUCCUGUGAUUCCUGAAGCCGCCUGUUUGGUACCGUCAGCUGACGCAGCAUGCCUGGCAUUAGCGAUUCCUCCUUUCAGUUCUGUUCGGAUCCCCGACUCUUCACCGGACUGUUUUCUUUCAGGUUUUUUUUUUUUUUUUUUUAUCAUUAAAAGUGGACAUUAACGUGUUUGUGUUUAUAUAUAUUAUUUUUUUUUUCUUCCUCGUUUCAUUAACGCCUGUUUUUGUACUCAUACGUGGGGAUGUGUCUUACAGGGAACAUUUUACUUGAACUAGUCCUAAUAGGAAUCCGAACAGAAGGAAUUUGAUUGCGACUCUCUCAUGGGUCAUGUGUUUUUUCUGGCUCCGGGUUUUGUCUGAAUGUAGAGUCCAUUGUCUGUGCUCUGUGUUGAGGACGCUCUGGUUUAGGAAUGCAAGACUGAAGGGUGGGGAGAGGGAGGGUGGGGAGGGAGGGAGGGAGGGAGGGGGGGGAGUGGUGGGGGUGUCCAUCCAAGUCCUAAUCAUUAAAUCUAAUCAAUCCAUGGCCUGACCAAAUGUCUUUGUGUUUUCACUGUAAGUGCAUACUCAAGCAAUCAAGUCGAGGGGGUUUUAAGUCCAACUGUAGCUGCAGGGAAACCAGCAGGAGUUUACAUUUCAGCCUGAAAAUAGAAGUCACAUAUGAUUUUAUAAAUUAACAGAAUCCAUCCUCUCCCACGCUCCCUCUUUAAUCUCAGGAGAAUCGGCGUAGACGCACCAUUAGCAGAUUAAUCCCCCACCCCACACACACACACACACAUCUUGGAGAUCCCUUUCCUGCCCACCUUCCUGGAUGUGGCCCAACCCAAACCAACCACAGCUGCUCCAAUAUGGAGAAUCCAUCGGGCCAUUUAUGCUUUUCAUCUCCUCCCCGGUGGCUCUCCAACUGCUCUCCCUCCGCUUUUCACAUUACUGCAGCGCCGGGUUCGUGGAGGAGGCCUGCCAAAACUACACCUCCAUGUCGUCAUAGUUUUGAGCAGUCCAUUGUUGUGGUUUAUUGUUUCUCCUCUCCCCGUGUCGGGUGAUGUGACAGGUAUUCGCUCGGUCCUCUGUGGGUGGUAGCCCCGUCUGUGAAUGCAUAUAAUGUUUCUGAUGGCUUAAGUAUGUGUGUCUUUGUGCGAGUUUUAAGGGGAUUAAGACGAUCCAUUCACCACCGUUUUUGUUUGCCAAGCCUCAUCUCCAAGUGUUUAAGUAUCCCCAUUAACCUUGUUUCAUGGGGACACUGUUUUAUAUCGGUACAAGAUAAGACACUUUUCUUCUUUUUACAACGUGUUUAUUUUUUUUUUUCAAAUUCAUUAGAAAAAGUCGCACCUGCAUCAUAUUGCUGAAUUUCACCGUAAGUACUGAACACAUUGAGCCUAAAAUGAAUCCGUCAUGACCUGCACACACACACACACAUACACGCAUACACACACACAUACACGCACACACCGGUUUCAGUACCUGGUGAUAUCUCAGGCUCCACGCUCAGUGAAGCAGCACAUUCCUCAAGUUGCAUGUUCCUCUGUGAUUGAGCUGCACACAAAACAGCUAAAAAAAAAAAAUUUGAUUAACAAGCAAAAACUGCCACUUCUAUGUCUUUUUUCUUUUUCUUUUUUAAGUGGAAAAUAAUGAGUCAUAGCUGCCCUGGAGCUGCCUGUACUAACGCACUGAACUGUGGUAGCGUUAAAUACACACUCGCACACCUCUCACAGGAGAGAAGUAAAAAGGGGGGCAGCUGGGAGAGAUUUUGCUGUAUAAUUAACUUGGUAAUCUUCAGAGAACGGCCUCUUGCUCCUCUGUCGCACACUUCCAAGGAACAUUAACAGCCAGCCUUGUGUGAAUAUUGUCAUCUUUGGGUCCUGUGAGUGUGUUUCCGCUCAGGGCAGUUGGGGUUUUGUGUGUGUGUGUGUGUGUUUUUUUUUUUCUUUUUUCUUUCAAGGUGGCAGGAGGAGGAGGAGUGGGGAGGUGGGGUUGUGUAGUAGGGUGGAGUGUCACAGUCGGUGUCCUGUGUUCACUUCAUUACAGUUUAAAUAGCCUACAGGGAGACCGCGGCUGCCUUUCACAUCACACCACCUGCAUUUCCCAUUACACACUCACGGGUUACUCACUCGACUACAUCCCUCCACACGCGUACGAUUUCAAACAUCCAUCCGCAAGCGUUCCUUCCUCAUACUUUCAACACAAACAAAAAUAUAUUGUACUGUAUAAACCGCUCCUCACAUUCACUCAUAGCACAGAUGUGCACAUGGCAUUAACACAGCAUGUGGUCAUAUUCUUUUUUUUUUUUUUUUUUUUAACUCGAAA